RNAcentral lists this ribosomal RNA (550 nucleotides) under uncultured bacterium. RNAcentral describes it as "bacterial SSU rRNA". It matches the Rfam family "Bacterial small subunit ribosomal RNA", at positions 355 to 896 of the family's 1533-position model. The record is from RNAcentral.
UAGGGAACCUUCGGCAAUGGACGGAAGUCUGACCGAGCAACGCCGCGUGAGUGAAGAAGGUUUUCGGAUCGUAAAGCUCUGUUGUAAGAGAAGAAUGAGUGUGAGAGUGGAAAGUUCACACUGUGACGGUAUCUUACCAGAAAGGGACGGCUAACUACGUGCCAGCAGCCGCGGUAAUACGUAGGUCCCGAGCGUUGUCCGGAUUUAUUGGGCGUAAAGCGAGCGCAGGCGGUUAGAUAAGUCUGAAGUUAAAGGCUGUGGCUUAACCAUAGUACGCUUUGGAAACUGUUUAACUUGAGUGCAAGAGGGGAGAGUGGAAUUCCAUGUGUAGCGGUGAAAUGCGUAGAUAUAUGGAGGAACACCGGUGGCGAAAGCGGCUCUCUGGCUUGUAACUGACGCUGAGGCUCGAAAGCGUGGGGAGCAAACAGGAUUAGAUACCCUGGUAGUCCACGCCGUAAACGAUGAGUGCUAGGUGUUAGACCCUUUCCGGGGUUUAGUGCCGCAGCUAACGCAUUAAGCACUCCGCCUGGGGAGUACGACCGCAAGGUUG